CAAGGGAGCAGUAACUUUCUGGAUAAAGAUUGUUCUCUUCUUGGGCUGUUUCUGAUUUUUGGUAGGGUACCCUGGCAGCCAAAGAUGUUUUAAUUAUGGGAAACUCAGAACAGAGAAGACCAAGGAAUCCUACACCACAAAGACAAGAAGUUACUAUUAAACUGGUCUUGGGGGAGUAUAAGAAGGAAAUCCUUUCACGCUGAGUGCGCAAGGAAUCCAAACUUUUAGGAGUUUUCAAAGGAUAGCAGCCAAAGGAUUUCUGUGGAAGUCAUGCAAGUCCUGUAUUAAAUAAGUACUUGCGUACGAGAAUGAAACUUGUAGAACUGUAUAGAAAGAACAACUUUCAUCUACAUAAUGAUACAGCAUAAAUAGAAAAGUACUUAAGUGCAUUAAAUCGAAUUCAACAGAAGGACUUCUGCUGACCUUUUUAUGCUUUGGAUUUUAAAUACAACACUCCUGGGAAAAAAAAAACCAUUUCCAUUAGGUGAUGCUCAGUUACUUUUUCACUGCAUUAGAUAGUGUAACUCACUACUGGCAUAAUAUAUAUAAUUAUCAGGUAUCUGAGAUUUCUAACUUCUUUCUUUCUUCAACAAAGGUUAAUUUUAUUAAGAACCUAAGUUUUUUUAACAUUGAAUAGUCAUCUGCAAUUGUGUGGAAAAAUUUUAAUGACACAUAAAAACUUGUCAGAAAAUGUUUAGAAAAAAGACAGUUUACUUUAAAUGCUCUAGCAUCAUGGCUUUCGAGAUGAAGUCACACUUAUAGACAUUGUUAUAUUGUAGAGAAUGGUCUGUGUCUUUUGAUUGCAAGUGUUUUCCAUUCUACAGAUCUCUUGCAACAACUCUAAUAAGAAAUUUCACACGCAUCUAACUUCUGUAUAACAACCCAAUGAGCUCAAGCAAACAUAUCCCUCUGUGUUAAUGCGUGCAGGGACCAUAUGAGAAUAGGAAGUUUCCCCUGCAAGAUGCUAUUUAACAAUGUAGAGUUGGUUGACUGAAAAUAGUGCUUUUUACACAGUAUGCUUAUUGCUUCUCUACUUGUCCUACGGAUAUUAUGUAUACACAGAUAAUGUUCCAGACAGAGAUGGACAACAUUCUGUCUGUCCACAAAAGCAGGUACGUGCAUACCUGUUUAUGUAAGUAGCUUCGAAAAAUUUUGAAACCAUGAAAGUUUAAUAUUACUACAGAUAAUAACAAUAUAGAUUAUUUGGUCGGUUCCUUACGUAGUUGAAAAGAAUAUCUGGAAUUUAAUUUGGAGGCCUUCAGCUAGGCUAUUUUAUUUAAUUAGAUCAUCCAGUUCUAUACAACUGUUCUGUCUUGCACAACUGAUGCUAGCUCCAGUGUCAAAUACUUGUCAUGUACUGUACAUUAUUUCUAUGGCAGUCUUUAUUUUUAAUAAAUGAACAUAAUUAUGCAAGUUAAGAAGAAGACUCUAAUGAGAAAAGCAAACACCUAAUUCUUCCAGAACUCUGUGCUUAGCAUACAAACUCUUCUCUUUCAUUCUUCUUUCCUGAGAAAAGUGCCCAUAAUCUUGACAUUUUCUUUUCAGUAGUGAAAGCUCCUCAGAAAUGACUCUUGCUACUGUUGUUAUUUAGCCUUGAUUUUUAUUCUGCAUCUUCUUACAUUCACUUUUGUUUUAUUGUUACUUUAUUCAUGUCAGAAAUAAAUCAAUUGAAAAUAUUUAAUCUCACAUAUUACUGAUAGUCAUCUUUUCGGUUCUUGGUACCACUCCACUAGACUUAUUCUGCCAUUUAAGUGAUUGCUUCAUAAAUUAGGCACUUCAAUGUCUUAAAUGUUCAGUCAGUGUCUUAAAUCACAUUAUGACUUCAAUAGCACAACACAGCAAUUCUGAAACAAAUG
Long non-coding RNA from Numida meleagris (helmeted guineafowl), 1856 nucleotides. RefSeq lists it as uncharacterized. Lineage: Eukaryota; Metazoa; Chordata; Aves; Galliformes; Numididae. The transcript has 3 exons. The record is from RefSeq and is a predicted model, not a curated record.